CGGGGUGUGGCGCAGUUGGCUAGCGUACUUGCAUGGGGUGCAAGGGGUCGUGAGUUCGAGUCUCACCACUCCGACCA
Molecule: transfer RNA, 77 nt
Filed under: Bacteroidales bacterium
Lineage: Bacteria; Pseudomonadati; Bacteroidota; Bacteroidia; Bacteroidales
Description: tRNA-Pro
Rfam family: tRNA
About the family: Transfer RNA (tRNA) molecules are approximately 80 nucleotides in length.
Source: RNAcentral